CUUAUCAAAGAGAAGAACAGAAAGGUAUGAGAGAGCUGACAGAAUACAGCAGAAAAGAAGCCAUGAGGGGGAAGAAAUGGACUGUAAAAGAAGUACAAAUCGGGAGAUUUGCUGAAUGAUAAGAUCAGACUCAAGGGGCCUCCAGAAGUCUGCCUUUGGUCAAAAUGUUUUUGAACAAAAAUGGUCCAGAGCUCUCUGCAGCCCUGCACAGAUAUGAAAGUCAUGCUAG
RNAcentral lists this long non-coding RNA (229 nucleotides) under Dromaius novaehollandiae (emu). RNAcentral's name for it is "lncRNA (ENSDNVG00000011909.1)". The record is from RNAcentral. Lineage: Eukaryota; Metazoa; Chordata; Aves; Casuariiformes; Dromaiidae.